AUUGAACGCUGGCGGCAUGCCUUACACAUGCAAGUCGAACGGCAGCAUGGAGAGCUUGCUCUCUGAUGGCGAGUGGCGAACGGGUGAGUAAAGCAUCGGAACGUACCGUGUAGUGGGGGAUAACGUAGCGAAAGUUACGCUAAUACCGCAUACGCACUGAGGUGGAAAGCAGGGGAUCGCAAGACCUUGCGCUAUACGAGCGGCCGAUGUCAGAUUAGCUAGUUGGUAGGGUAAAGGCCUACCAAGGCGACGAUCUGUAGCGGGUCUGAGAGGAUGAUCCGCCACACUGGGACGGGGACACGGCCCAGACUCCUACGGGAGGCAGAAGUGGGGAAUUUUGGACAAUGGGGGCAACCCUGAUUCAGCCAUGCCGCGUGAGUGAAGAAGGCCUUCGGGUUGUAAAGCUCUUUCGGCCGGGAAGAAAUCGCACAGGCUAAUACUCUGUGUGGAUGACGGUACCGGCAUAAGAAGCACCGGCUAACUACGUGCCAGCAGCCGCCGUAA
RNAcentral lists this ribosomal RNA (504 nucleotides) under uncultured bacterium. RNAcentral's name for it is "partial 16S ribosomal RNA". It matches the Rfam family "Bacterial small subunit ribosomal RNA", at positions 30 to 523 of the family's 1533-position model. The record is from RNAcentral.